GGCGCAGUCAUGACGUCACCAGCGCGCCGGCCAAACUUCAGCCGGACGGGAGGGGAAGUUUUUUUUUCUCCUUUUCUUUCUCUGCCCCGAGCGUAGAGGGAACCACAAAACUAUCCGGAAACGGACCAGUCCCUGGGUGGUUUGAAGUGAACUGCAAAACAGUUGCACCUUUAUCAGUUCACUGCAGAGAAAAAUGUUCAGUUUCCAUAUUUGUGCAUGGGAGAGGAGGAGGACCAGAGGAAAAGUGAAGAUCCAUUGGAGGAAAGACCCAAAUGGGGACUGAUCUUUGGAACAAAUGCUGGCUACCAACAACAACGCAGUACUGUUUACACCAAGGAUGUCAAAUUGGAUUUGAAAACAGACCCCAGGGAGUAGAUGAGUGACUGAGAAAACAACAAAUAUGCAAUAUCUAUAUCAUGAUGUAUUCGUACUUGUUUUGUUAAAAAUUUCCCAUUACAUUUUAAUCUACUUCAGCCUGCACUAGGGAGCUUUGCAGGGAAAGCUUGACAUAUUUAAUUUGCAAUACAAUUACAUGGCACAUGUAUAUGAUGGGGUGGGGGUGGGGGGUUUGGCUAUGUAAACCAGAGAGAAAAUAUAUUGGUAAAGCCA
This is a long non-coding RNA of Monodelphis domestica (gray short-tailed opossum), 609 nucleotides long. RefSeq lists it as uncharacterized. NCBI's taxonomy places the organism in Eukaryota, Metazoa, Chordata, Mammalia, Didelphimorphia, Didelphidae. The record is from RefSeq and is a predicted model, not a curated record.